RNAcentral lists this long non-coding RNA (1641 nucleotides) under Sus scrofa (pig). RNAcentral's name for it is "lncRNA (ENSSSCG00065075302.1)". Lineage: Eukaryota; Metazoa; Chordata; Mammalia; Artiodactyla; Suidae. The record is from RNAcentral.
UUGGAUAAAGGCAUCAGAAAAUGUUUCUCCUAAGAGUGGGGGGGACAAACUGAGCUUUGAAGGGUAAAAAGGAGCCAGCUAUCAAAAGAGUGAGAGGAAGGGAAAGAGAUUGUUUGGGUUAAGAAAGCAGCCCAGGAAUUCCCAUCGUGGCUCAGUGGUUAAUGAAUCCGACUAGGAACCAUGAGGUUGAGGGGUUUGAUUCCUGGCCUUUCUCAGUGGGUUAAGGAUCCGGUGUUGCCGUGAGCUGUGGUGUAGGUCGCAGACAUGCCUUGGAUCUGGCGUUGCUGUGGCUCUGGCAUAGGCCGGCAGCUACAGCUCUGAUUCAACCCCUAGCCUGGGAACCUCCAUAUGCCACAGGAGCAGCCCAAGAAAUGGCAAAAGGACAAAAAAGAAAAGGAAAAAGAAAGCAGCCCAAUCCCUAGGGUGGAAAGGUGAUCUUUCCUGUGUUUGCAGAGUGGAAAAGAGCCAGUGAGGGUGGAGCAUGGAGGGAGCAUCAGAAGAUGACACUGGAGAGGAAGCAGGGACCAGACCCACCUGGUCAGGAGUUUGGAUUUUAUUCUAUGUGCUAAGAAAGCCUCUGUGAGUUUUAAGACAAGAGGAGAACGUCUCUGGAAUUCCUGCUGUGGCACAACAGGAUCGGCAGCAUCUCUCCAGGGCCAGGACACAGGUUCGAUCCCUGACCUGGAACAGUGGGUUAAGGGAUCUGGUGUUACCAACGGGAGAGAAGAAGCCAGGAGUUCCCGUCAUGGCGCAGCAGAAACAAUCCGACUAGGAACCAUGAGGUUGCGGGUUCGAUCCCUGGCCUCAUUCAGUGGGUUAAAGAUCCGGUGUUGCUGUGAGCUGUGGUGUAGGCCGGCAGCUGUAGCUCUGAUUUGACUCCUAGCCUGGAAACCUCCAUAUGCCAUGGGUGCAGCCGUAAAAAGAAAAAAAAAAAAAAGAGAGAGAGAGAGAGAAGCAGCCAAGCCUAGGAUAUAAGCUGGGCACAUGUGUCCCCACGUCCUUAUCUGUAGUACAGGUGUAAUGAGAGUCCCUCGUAGGGUGGUUGAGAUGAUUAUCGGCUCAUGUACAGUGCUUAAGUCAGUUACUGAUACACAAUAAGCCCCAAGUAUAUGUUAGUUUCCCUGCUGUCACUGUCCUUUUAUCUUGGUCUUGUACUAGGAUCAGCGAGGAAACUUUCCUGUUUAACUAGACCUUCUUGCCACACUCAGGUCCAACCUUUAGGCACUGUGCAGGACUGUGGUUUCCCAGCUUUUCAAGUUCACUCCUGAAGAGGAGGAGCCAGGAGGUUUUCUGGGGUACAGAGGGGGAACCUCAUGGUCUAGGGAACCGGGUAUUCACCAGGGGCCAUUAAGGACAUCUUCCUGGAUUCCCAAAAAAACCUGGACCCUGGACCUACAUCAGCAUCUCUCUGCCCAGCUUGGAGCCUCGGCAUGCCCCCCUGUUCAGCGCUGGUCCCCCAGCCCCAUUCAAGCCUGUAAGGGCGUGGACACGUGGAUCAUUUCUUCCAGACUGCUCUCCCAACAGCAAUCCCUUUGCCUUUUUUUCUAACUUCCCCUCUGCUUCUUCCUCGUCCCCUUCUUUCUUCUCAGGAAUCUCUUUGGGAGGAAAGGAAUUCCCUCACUACUUAGAGGGGUGGGGUUU